Molecule: long non-coding RNA, 556 nt
Organism: Hemicordylus capensis (graceful crag lizard)
Lineage: Eukaryota; Metazoa; Chordata; Lepidosauria; Squamata; Cordylidae
Exons: 3
Source: RefSeq, a predicted model, not a curated record
GGGGCAGCCAUUUUUUUUAAACGGAGCAGCCAUCGGAGGAGGAGCCAUCGGAGGAGCAAUUUUUACAGUAAAUACGGUGGCAGAGUGUGGAAAGCGCGGGAGGGAUAAGAGCACAAUUCUAUGUGUGGUUCCAUGGAAGUAUGUCCUGCUUUGUACAGUAGAGCUUAACUCCGUGUCCAUAGGUUACGUGAAUCAAGAAGGUACACUGAAAAUGCACUUUUUCUAUGGAUGCAUCCAGAAAUCUCUUUUCCCUAACAACUGGGUCGUGCUUUCAUUAGAGCCCCAUGCAAGAAUGCCUUCAGCUGUGACAUGCCCUAGCUUACUGCUUCUAGCCCAAACACAGAUGUUUUAGCAUGAGGAGAACAGCAACUGAUGUUCAAAAUGAGCAACAGUAGACCCAUCCCCUGUGAGAACAGGUACUUCUUUGAGAAGAUACUUCCUGUAUUGCAUUUGCAGCUGCAGUCAUUGCAGACAUUUAUAUAUGGAAGCAUCAAUAUGGCCCAAUUCAGUGGAACACUUCACACCUGCUAGAAUAAAUGAGAAUUGUGCAAAAACA